UGGGGAAUAUUGCACAAUGGGGGAAACCCUGAUGCAGCGACGCCGCGUGAGCGAAGAAGGUUUUCGAAUCGUAAAGCUCUGUCCUAUGAGAAGAUAAUGACGGUAUCAUAGGAGGAAGCCCCGGCUAAAUACGUGCCAGCAGCCGCGGUAAUACGUAUGGGGCGAGCGUUGUCCGGAAUUAUUGGGCGUAAAGGGUACGUAGGCGGUCUAUUAAGUCAGGUGUGAAAGCGUGAGGCUUAACCUCAUUAAGCACUUGAAACUGAUAGACUUGAGUGAAGGAGAGGAAAGUGGAAUUCCUAGUGUAGCGGUGAAAUGCGUAGAGAUUAGGAGGAACACCGGUGGCGAAAGCGGCUUUUUGGCCUGCAACUGACACUGGGGCGCGAAAGCGUGGGGAGCAAACAGG
Molecule: ribosomal RNA, 403 nt
Filed under: Verrucomicrobiota bacterium
Lineage: Bacteria; Pseudomonadati; Verrucomicrobiota
Description: Verrucomicrobia bacterium partial 16S ribosomal RNA
Rfam family: Bacterial small subunit ribosomal RNA
Source: RNAcentral